This 280-nucleotide ribosomal RNA is filed under the name Segatella copri DSM 18205. RNAcentral describes it as "Prevotella copri DSM 18205 partial 16S ribosomal RNA". It matches the Rfam family "Bacterial small subunit ribosomal RNA", at positions 497 to 776 of the family's 1533-position model. The record is from RNAcentral. Lineage: Bacteria; Pseudomonadati; Bacteroidota; Bacteroidia; Bacteroidales; Prevotellaceae.
UAUGGUAAGUGCCAGCAGCCGCGGUAAUACGGAAGGUCCGGGCGUUAUCCGGAUUUAUUGGGUUUAAAGGGAGCGUAGGCCGGAGAUUAAGCGUGUUGUGAAAUGUAGACGCUCAACGUCUGCACUGCAGCGCGAACUGGUUUCCUUGAGUACGCACAAAGUGGGCGGAAUUCGUGGUGUAGCGGUGAAAUGCUUAGAUAUCACGAAGAACUCCGAUUGCGAAGGCAGCUCACUGGAGCGCAACUGACGCUGAAGCUCGAAAGUGCGGGUAUCGAACAGG